RNAcentral lists this long non-coding RNA (1334 nucleotides) under Homo sapiens (human). RNAcentral describes it as "non-protein coding lnc-BNIP1-3:5". Lineage: Eukaryota; Metazoa; Chordata; Mammalia; Primates; Hominidae. The record is from RNAcentral.
CCCUGACAUACCAUAGCACUGCUUGUUGAUUUGCAGACAUAUAAUUGAAUGUGCUGUUAAAGAAUGGUGAAAGUAGGAAUGUGUUUGCUCUAAAUUUCCCUGUGAACUUCCUUGUCUGCACCAGCUGGCUUGGUUUGAUCCUUUCCCCAGACUCUGAUGCUUCUGUAAAGACAGAGCACAUGCACAUGCUCAUGUCCUCUGGCCCAGGUAAGGCUUAUCCACAGAGAAGGGAGCAUUGUGCCCCCAGUGCCCGGGAGGUGGUAUAUUCCACAAAGAGGUGAGUGGAGUGGGGGCCUUGUUGUCAUUGAAUCUCAUGUAGUGGAGGGCCUUGGGGAGGUGACACAGGAAAAUGUGCUACUCUGUAUUGUCUUGGGAAGGGUUGAAUUUGAUUCUGUUGUUUCUGAGGAUGUGAGAAUAAAUCUUGAUGGCUUUCCUCUUUCUGCCUCUAAGCAUCCUUGUGUGUAUUGCUGGUUUUACCUGAUCAUUUUCACCAUCUUCCCCAUGGUUUUAGUGGUCAUUUUUCAUUUCUUCUCUUGUAAAUAAUCAGUUCAUGUUUUCUAGCACCAAUUCUAAGCCUAGAUUAGUAAUAAGAAAAGUUCCCUCUUUUUAAAAGAAGAUGUCUACUUUCUCUGCCCUCCUUAUUGCCCAGAAAACAGGCAUUGUGGAGACGUGGCCUUGAUUGUCCUUCUUCUUGUCUCUUCCACCAAUGUGGCUGACCUUUUUCUCCUCACUCUCCAUUAAUUAGCAGCAGUUUCCCUGUUCCUUGGCUCACAGUGGUACACCUGGGAGCCUUAGCACUCACUGAAAACCCCUUACUGCCUAACAAGAAUUGACCCAUGGUUGAAAACCCAUCUCAAGUGCUGCUGCCUCUAUGAAGCCCACCCUGAAUUACGUUCAACUGGACAUACUUCCUUAUUUAAACCCUUUGGCACUGAUAUUCUAUCUUUAAUCAUUAUUAUUAUUUUAGAACAUGUCACCUUCCCAUGUUUUCCAAGUCAUAAAAGUAGUACAUGUCCAUCACAGACAAAUGGGGAGUGCAGAAAAGCACAAAGAAUAAAACAGAGACAGCAGGGUUCAGGCUUCGAGUUGUGGUGCAAUUGGCCCACAUCCACCCCACCCUCUCUUCACGCAGCAGAUGACUGGGACAUAAAGAAGCUGAUGGGGCCACUGCCACCGAAUUUCCACCUGCAGCCCUUCUCGGGGGCCACCACCAUGCUCCUCAACAGCUGUCACUGACAGGACAGAGCUUGAGGAUCUUGAGGAGCUACUGACCCUGCAGAACCGCUCUGAGACCAGGGGGAGCUUUUCCAGGUGAAACGAUUCAUGGCUAGGCU